UACAGAGGGUGCGAGCGUUAAUCGGAAUUACUGGGCGUAAAGCGCACGUAGGCGGCUUGGUAUGUCGGGUGUGAAAUCCCCGGGCUCAACCUGGGAACUGCAUCCGAAACUGCCUUGCUCGAGUAUGGGAGAGGGAAGUGGAAUUUCCGGUGUAGCGGUGAAAUGCGUAGAUGUCGGAAGGAACAUCAGUGGCGAAGGCGACUUCCUGGACCAAUACUGACGCUCAGGUGCGAAAGCGUGGGGAGCAAACAGG
RNAcentral lists this ribosomal RNA (253 nucleotides) under uncultured bacterium. Its description in RNAcentral is "partial 16S ribosomal RNA". It matches the Rfam family "Bacterial small subunit ribosomal RNA", at positions 524 to 776 of the family's 1533-position model. The record is from RNAcentral.